This 497-nucleotide ribosomal RNA is filed under the name uncultured Glomeromycotina. RNAcentral's name for it is "partial small subunit ribosomal RNA". It matches the Rfam family "Eukaryotic small subunit ribosomal RNA", at positions 591 to 1092 of the family's 1831-position model. Lineage: Eukaryota; Fungi; Glomeromycota. The record is from RNAcentral.
CCAAUAGCGUAUAUUAACGUUGUUGCCGUUAAAACGCUCGUAGUUGAAUUUUAGGCCUGACCGGGCGGUCCGUCUUUGGCGAGUACUGUCCUGUGUCGGGUCCACCUUCUGGUGAACCAGUAUGUCCUUUAUUGGGUGUGCCGGGGAGCCAGGACCAUUACCUUGAAAAAAUUAGAGUGUUUAAAGCAGGCAUUUGCUUGAAUAGAUUAGCAUGGAAUAAUAGAAUAGGACGUUGUGGUUCUAUUUUGUUGGUUUCUAGGACCACCGUAAUGAUUAAUAGGGAUAGUUGGGGGCAUUAGUAUUCAAUUGUCAGAGGUGAAAUUCUUGGAUUUAUUGAAGACUAACUAUUGCGAAAGCAUUUGCCAAGGAUGUUUUCAUUAAUCAAGAACGAAAGUUAGGGGAUCGAAGACGAUCAGAUACCGUCGUAGUCUUAACCAUAAACUAUGCCGACUAGGAAUCGGGCGACGUUAUUUUCAUGACUCGCUCGGCGCCUUAUG